UAUGGUAGGGGCUUCUAUACAUGCAAGUCGAGCGAACAGAUAAGGAGCUUGCUCCUUUGACGUUAGCGGCGGACGGGUGAGUAACACGUGGAUAACCUACCUAUAAGACUGGGAUAACUUCGGGAAACCGGAGCUAAUACCGGAUAACAUAUUGAACCGCAUGGUUCAAUAGUGAAAGGCGGCUUUGCUGUCACUUAUUUCUGGAUACGCGCCGUAUUAGCUAGUUGGUAAGGUAACGGCUUACCAAGGCAACGAUACGUAGCCGACCUGAGAGGGUGAUCGGCCACACUGGAACUGAGACACGGUCCAGACUCCUACGGGAGGCAGCAGUAGGGAAUCUUCCGCAAUGGGCGAAAGCCUGACGGAGCAACGCCGCGUGAGUGAUGAAGGUCUUCCGAUCCUAAAACUCUGUUAUCAGGGAAGAACAAAUGUAAAAU
RNAcentral lists this ribosomal RNA (437 nucleotides) under Staphylococcus pasteuri. Its description in RNAcentral is "bacterial SSU rRNA". It matches the Rfam family "Bacterial small subunit ribosomal RNA", at positions 37 to 461 of the family's 1533-position model. The record is from RNAcentral. Lineage: Bacteria; Bacillati; Bacillota; Bacilli; Caryophanales; Staphylococcaceae.